Xenia sp. Carnegie-2017 is the source of this 681-nucleotide long non-coding RNA. RefSeq lists it as uncharacterized. NCBI's taxonomy places the organism in Eukaryota, Metazoa, Cnidaria, Anthozoa, Malacalcyonacea, Xeniidae. The transcript has 2 exons. The record is from RefSeq and is a predicted model, not a curated record.
UAUAAAAAAGACAAGUGAAGCGUCCGCUACUAAAGACGACAAAAGCACAGAUGACAACGCAGACGUUGGCCCAUACAGCAAUGAACCAGUUGCUGAUGAAGAAUGGCUUUCUAACUACCGUGGAAGAAAACAAAAAUAUGAUGACCGUUUGAAAGAACUUCAACGUAGACUUGACGGCGAAGAGAAAUAUGACCAAUGUAGGUACGCACAACCAACACAACCAUCUGUCUGAGUCAAAGCGCUGUUUGUCUAAAAGAAAAAGUCUUUCUUAAAAUGUAUGCAUAAUGUCAGUAGGGGUCAACAUAUGUUUUGACAGAAAAGCUCACGAAUGGCAAGUCAAAUUGUAAGAUCGCACUAUACUAGCAGGAAUAAAGGUAUAUACUAUAUACUUUGCUGCAAGGAACAUCGCUUGGUAUCUCUUCAUCCACAUUUAAUUCCAUUGGCACGCAGUGUUCGAAAUCCUCUGGCUCUUCUUCUGAUUCUCCUGGUCGAGACAAACUUGUGGACAAUGCUUCCUUUAAAACCUUUCGAAAAUGUCAACAAAUUUAUGUACAAAACAGUGAUUCUCAAAAUAGGUUCAUGUGUAUUUUCCUGUAUUUACCAUGUUUUAAAAAGCGUGCGUUAAUCUCUUGAAAUGGAAUGAAUAAACUUACCCUUCUCUUGGCUCUUGCUGACGGGGGA